Molecule: ribosomal RNA, 253 nt
Filed under: uncultured bacterium
Lineage: Bacteria
Description: partial 16S ribosomal RNA
Rfam family: Bacterial small subunit ribosomal RNA
Source: RNAcentral
UACGUAGGGUGCAAGCGUUGUCCGGAAUUAUUGGGCGUAAAGAGCUCGUAGGCGGUUUGUCGCGUCUGCUGUGAAAACUCGGGGCUUAACUCCGGGCCUGCAGUGGGUACGGGCAGACUAGAGUGCGGUAGGGGAGACUGGAAUUCCUGGUGUAGCGGUGAAAUGCGCAGAUAUCAGGAGGAACACCGGUGGCGAAGGCGGGUCUCUGGGCCGUAACUGACGCUGAGACGCGAAAGCGUGGGGAGCAAACAGG